UACAGAGACUGCAAGCGUUAUUCGGAUUCACUGGGCGUAAAGGGUGCGCAGGCGGUUGUGUGUGCCAGGUGUGAAAGCCCGGGGCUUAACCCCGGAAUUGCGCCUGAAACUACAUGACUAGAGCAUUGGAGAGGGUAGCGGAAUUCACGGUGUAGCAGUGAAAUGCGUAGAUAUCGUGAGGAACACCAGAGGCGAAGGCGGCUACCUGGACAAUUGCUGACGCUCAGGCACGAAAGCGUGGGGAGCAAAAGGG
Molecule: ribosomal RNA, 253 nt
Filed under: uncultured bacterium
Lineage: Bacteria
Description: partial 16S ribosomal RNA
Rfam family: Bacterial small subunit ribosomal RNA
Source: RNAcentral